RNAcentral lists this transfer RNA (76 nucleotides) under Candidatus Crickella caballi. RNAcentral's name for it is "tRNA-Arg". It matches the Rfam family "tRNA". From Rfam's summary of the family: Transfer RNA (tRNA) molecules are approximately 80 nucleotides in length. Their secondary structure includes four short double-helical elements and three loops (D, anti-codon, and T loops). The record is from RNAcentral. Lineage: Bacteria; Bacillati; Bacillota; Clostridia; Peptostreptococcales; Anaerovoracaceae.
GUCUCGGUAGCUCAGGGGAUAGAGCACUGCUCUCCUAAAGCAGGUGCCGCGCGUUCGAAUCGCGCUCGGGACACCA